Molecule: transfer RNA, 70 nt
Filed under: Marmota marmota marmota (Alpine marmot)
Lineage: Eukaryota; Metazoa; Chordata; Mammalia; Rodentia; Sciuridae
Also listed under: 3 other names
Rfam family: tRNA
About the family: Transfer RNA (tRNA) molecules are approximately 80 nucleotides in length. Their secondary structure includes four short double-helical elements and three loops (D, anti-codon, and T loops).
Source: Rfam by way of RNAcentral
GGGGAUGUAGCUCAGUGGAAGAGUACUUGCCUGGCAUGCUUGAGGGUCCUGGGUUUGAUCCCCAGCACCA